Molecule: long non-coding RNA, 830 nt
Filed under: Centruroides sculpturatus (bark scorpion)
Lineage: Eukaryota; Metazoa; Arthropoda; Arachnida; Scorpiones; Buthidae
Description: uncharacterized LOC111620467, transcript variant X1
Source: RNAcentral
UGUUAUAUUUUUUAUGCAAAUUAACGGGAAAAAGAAUUGAAAACGCAUUGUUACAUUUGAACUGGAUUCAAAACGAACAAAUUAAUGAUUAGUAAGUUUCUUCAUCCAAGAAUAACUAUUUCCUGUUUAAUCUAUUGACGUAUUGCUGCCAGAGAAUCAAGUUCUAGCAUUCAACUUCGAGCGCACAAGGAUGACAAGUUAAAAACAAGACCAACCACUUCGGAAACUUCAUGCCUCUAGCUGUGUCAGUUCGAAGAGUUUACUCAAAGGACAAAGGAUCCCAUGUAUAUUAUACUCACCAAACAUUGAAUAAUUUCAAAACAUAUAGUCACUUAAAACUACACCAUCGACAGGAAACAGUAUAUCGGGCUUGUUUGAACACUCGACAGAACAAAGAAGAGAAAAGCAAUCUUUUCUGUUCAUGCAGAAAUCGAACAGAAGAAAAUGAUUUCGUAUGGUUCCACUUCAGUUAAAUGGUUUUUAAUUUUGCAACAAAAUGGACACAGUUUGCAUUCGGAAGUUACAAUAGUUUCAAUAUACAUCCCUCCAAGGACGUAAACAUUUGCACCCGUUUUAACGAUCCAUAUUGCUUACAAGUGCAUGAAGUAUGAAGAAAAAACGCCAUACAGAUUAUUUAGUAUUGAAGACAUUGAUUUAGAUUCGAGAAAUACAAACAAAAAAUGUGGAAUUAAACAAAAAAAUUCAAAUGAUUGCAUUAAAAUGUGUGCCAUGUGUACAGUUUAAUUGCGUAUUGUUAAUCUGUAUAAUAAAGUUCACUGCACUUAUUGAUAUGUAGAGAGAGUAACAGUGAGUUGAUGAAUUAUAAUAAU